This 100-nucleotide ribosomal RNA is filed under the name Physconia muscigena. RNAcentral's name for it is "partial 28S ribosomal RNA". It matches the Rfam family "Eukaryotic large subunit ribosomal RNA", at positions 16 to 115 of the family's 3401-position model. The record is from RNAcentral. Lineage: Eukaryota; Fungi; Ascomycota; Lecanoromycetes; Caliciales; Physciaceae.
UAGGGAUACCCGCUGAACUUAAGCAUAUCAAUAAGCGGAGGAAAAGAAACCAACAGGGAUUGCCUCAGUAACGGCGAGUGAAGCGGCAACAGCUCAAAUA